GGGGGUGCGUGGCUUCGAUUUCGUGGAUCGAGGCGGGUGAAGCGAGCCGACGUUGCCGAAUCGUCGUUAAAAAGUUGGCACCAUAGAUACAUGCCGAGGAUAACCUCGCACUCGCUGCCUAGUUUUUAACUAGCAGCGCGUCCACUCCGGUUCGGCCGUUCGACCGGGUACGGGCGCCAUUUUGAACGGCUUACCGUCGGGACGGGCUCCGUGGUCCGACGGGACACUCAAGCGGAGUUGGGAUUAGCGCAGGCCGCCAGUGGGCGGCGUUGAUCCGAGACUUACCCACUGGCUGCGCUCGGAGAAGCCCCGCCAAAGACUCGGAAGACCCGGGUUCGACUCCCGGCACCUCCAC
RNAcentral lists this transfer-messenger RNA (355 nucleotides) under uncultured Actinomycetes bacterium. RNAcentral describes it as "transfer-messenger RNA, SsrA". It matches the Rfam family "transfer-messenger RNA". Rfam says of the family: Bacterial tmRNA, also known as 10Sa RNA or SsrA, is named for its dual tRNA and mRNA-like properties. RNAcentral also lists the same sequence under 1 other name. The record is from RNAcentral. Lineage: Bacteria; Bacillati; Actinomycetota; Actinomycetes.